UACGGAGGGUGCAAGCGUUAUCCGGAUUUACUGGGUUUAAAGGGAGCGUAGGUGGGUUGAUAAGUCAGUGGUGAAAUCUCCGGGCUUAACCUGGAAACUGCCGUUGAUACUAUCGAUCUUGAAUACUGUGGAGGUUAGCGGAAUAUGUCAUGUAGCGGUGAAAUGCAUAGAUAUGACAUAGAACACCAAUUGCGAAGGCAGCUGGCUACACAAGCAUUGACACUGAGGCUCGAAAGCGUGGGGAUCAAACAGG
This 253-nucleotide ribosomal RNA is filed under the name uncultured bacterium. RNAcentral describes it as "partial 16S ribosomal RNA". It matches the Rfam family "Bacterial small subunit ribosomal RNA", at positions 524 to 776 of the family's 1533-position model. The record is from RNAcentral.